Molecule: ribosomal RNA, 402 nt
Filed under: uncultured bacterium
Lineage: Bacteria
Description: bacterial SSU rRNA
Rfam family: Bacterial small subunit ribosomal RNA
Source: RNAcentral
UGAGGAAUAUUGCGCAAUGGACGGAAGUCUGACGCAGCAAUGCCGCGUGCGGGAAGAAGGCGCUAUGCGUCGUAAACCGCUGUAGCACGGGAAGAAGAGGCCCUUAGAGGGUUUAGACUGUACCGUGAAAGUAAGCAUCGGCUAACUACGUGCCAGCAGCCGCGGUAAUACGUAGGAUGCAAGCGUUGUCCGGAUUUACUGGGUGUAAAGGGUGCGCAGGCGGGCCUGUAAGUCAGAGGUGAAAGCCGACAGCUUAACUGUCGAAAUGCCUUUGAUACUGCGGGUCUUGAGUUCGAGAGAGGCGGAUGGAAUGUGUGGUGUAGCGGUGAAAUGCGUAGAUAUCACACAGAACACCAGUGGCGAAGGCGGUCCGCUGGCUCGAUACUGACGCUCAGGCACGAA